CCGGCACGGGUGAGUAACACGUAUCCAACCUGCCGUCUACUCUUGGGCAGCCUUCUGAAAGGAAGAUUAAUACAAGAUGGCAUCAUGAGUCCGCAUGUUCACAUGAUUAAAGGUAUUCCGGUAGACGAUGGGGAUGCGUUCCAUUAGAUAGUAGGCGGGGUAACGGCCCACCUAGUCUUCGAUGGAUAGGGGUUCUGAGAGGAAGGUCCCCCACAUUGGAACUGAGACACGGUCCAA
RNAcentral lists this ribosomal RNA (237 nucleotides) under uncultured bacterium. RNAcentral describes it as "partial 16S ribosomal RNA". It matches the Rfam family "Bacterial small subunit ribosomal RNA", at positions 100 to 334 of the family's 1533-position model. The record is from RNAcentral.